GAGAUGUUGGGUUAAGUCCCGCAACGAGCGCAACCCCUUUCUGUAGUGCCAGCAGUUAAAGAUGGUGCGGACCUCUGGAUAGAAACAGUGCGGCAGGUACAAANACGGGGAGGAGAGAGGAGGUGGGGAGAUCGAAUCAUCAAUCAUUCACUGCCCCCUCUAUGAUCUGUNGGCUACACACAGUUGUUUACAAAUAGGGGCGGUACAAAAGAAGGAAGACAAAGAAACGCGGGAGAGAGGGAGACAUAAAAUCCUCCUCAAAAAACCCGCUCUCUCC
Molecule: ribosomal RNA, 277 nt
Filed under: uncultured bacterium
Lineage: Bacteria
Description: partial 16S ribosomal RNA
Source: RNAcentral